AUUGAACGCUGGCGGCAUGCUUUACACAUGCAAGUCGAACGGCAGCGCGGGUUUCGGCCUGGCGGCGAGUGGCGAACGGGUGAGUAAUACAUCGGAACGUGCCCAGUAGUGGGGGAUAGCUCGGCGAAAGCCGGAUUAAUACCGCAUACGACCUGAGGGUGAAAGCGGGGGAUCUUCGGACCUCGCGCUAUUGGAGCGGCCGAUGGCAGAUUAGCUAGUUGGUGGGGUAAAGGCCUACCAAGGCGACGAUCUGUAGCUGGUCUGAGAGGACGACCAGCCACACUGGGACUGAGACACGGCCCAGACUCCUACGGGAGGCAGCAGUGGGGAAUUUUGGACAAUGGGCGAAAGCCUGAUCCAGCAAUGCCGCGUGUGUGAUGAAGGCCUUCGGGUUGUAAAGCACUUUUGGCGGGAACGAAAAGGACUGUGCCAAUACCACGGUUCGAUGACGGUACCCGCAGAAUAAGCACCGGCUAACUACGCG
Molecule: ribosomal RNA, 484 nt
Filed under: uncultured bacterium
Lineage: Bacteria
Description: partial 16S ribosomal RNA
Rfam family: Bacterial small subunit ribosomal RNA
Source: RNAcentral